RNAcentral lists this non-coding RNA (178 nucleotides) under uncultured Azonexus sp. The record is from RNAcentral. Lineage: Bacteria; Pseudomonadati; Pseudomonadota; Betaproteobacteria; Rhodocyclales; Azonexaceae.
CGGUUGAUGGUUCCCCAAGCUGGGGAUUAAAAGGGAAUCCGGUGAGAGCGUCCGCUCGAAUCCGGGGCUGCCCCCGCAACUGUCAUCGACGAGCAUUCCACCCGUAUCGCCACUGGCUUCGCGCCGGGAAGGCGGUGGAAGGCGCCGAGUCGAGAGCCAGGAGACCUGCCGCAACGUC